GAUGAACGCUGGCGGCGUGCCUAAUACAUGCAAGUCGAGCGAACGGACCAGAAGCUGUCUUCUCUGAUUUUAUCGGCGGACGGAUGAUGAACACGUGUAUAACCUACCUAUAAGACUGGGAUAAUUUCGGGGAACCGUAUCUAAUACCGGAUAAUAUUUUGAACCUCGUUGUUCCAAAGUUAAAUUCGCUCUUUCUUUCACUAAUAGAUUAAUCCGCCCUGCAUUAGUUAGUUGGUAAGGUGACGGCUUACCAAGGCAACGAUGCAUAGCCGACCUCAAAGGGUGAUCGGCCACACUGGAAGUGAGACACGGUACCGACUCUUACGGGAGGACGCAGCCGGGAAUCUUACGCGAUGGGCGAGAGCGUGAUGGAGGAAAGCGGGGUGAGUGAUGAAGGUGCUAGGAUGCGAAAACUCUGUAAUCAGGGAAGAAGAAAUGUGUAAGUAACCGUGAAGAUAAUGACGGUACCUAAUCAGAAAGCCCCGGCUAACUACGUG
This 497-nucleotide ribosomal RNA is filed under the name uncultured bacterium. RNAcentral's name for it is "partial 16S ribosomal RNA". It matches the Rfam family "Bacterial small subunit ribosomal RNA", at positions 28 to 507 of the family's 1533-position model. The record is from RNAcentral.